This 253-nucleotide ribosomal RNA is filed under the name uncultured bacterium. Its description in RNAcentral is "partial 16S ribosomal RNA". It matches the Rfam family "Bacterial small subunit ribosomal RNA", at positions 524 to 776 of the family's 1533-position model. The record is from RNAcentral.
UACGUAGGGUGCAGGCGUUAAUCGGAAUUACUGGGCGUAAAGCGUGCGCAGGCGGUCCUUUAAGUCAGAUGUGAAAUCCCCGGGCUUAACCUGGGAACUGCGUUUGAAACUGGAAGGCUAGAGUGUGGCAGAGGGGGGUGGAAUUCCACGUGUAGCAGUGAAAUGCGUAGAUAUGUGGAGGAACACCGAUGGCGAAGGCAGCCCCCUGGGCUAACACUGACGCUCAUGCACGAAAGCGUGGGGAGCAAACAGG